CCUACGGGAGGCAGCAGUAGGGAAUAUUGCACAAUGGGCGAAAGCCUGAUGCAGCAACGCCGCGUGCGCGAUGAAGGCCUUCGGGUUGUAAAGCGCUUUUCUGGGGGAAGAGUAAGGACGGUACCCCAGGAAUAAGUCUCGGCUAACUACGUGCCAGCAGCCGCGGUAAAACGUAGGAGGCAAGCGUUAUCCGGAUUUACUGGGCGUAAAGCGUGUGUAGGCGGUAUGGUAAGUCGGACGUGAAAGCUCCUGGCUCAACUGGGAGAGGCCGUUCGAAACUUCCAAACUUGAGGGCAGUAGAGGGAGGUGGAAUUCCGGGUGUAGCGGUGAAAUGCGUAGAUAUCCGGAGGAACACCAGUGGCGAAGGCGGCCUCCUGGACUGUCCCUGACGCUCAGACACGAAAGCUAGGGGAGCAAACGGGAUUAGAUACCCUUGUAGUC
This 441-nucleotide ribosomal RNA is filed under the name uncultured bacterium. RNAcentral's name for it is "bacterial SSU rRNA". It matches the Rfam family "Bacterial small subunit ribosomal RNA", at positions 338 to 795 of the family's 1533-position model. The record is from RNAcentral.